UACAUAGGUCCCGAGCGUUGUUCGGAUUCAUUGGGCGUAAAGGGUGCGUAGGUGGCGCUGUAAGUGGGGUGUGAAAUCCCGGGGCUUAACUCCGGAACUGCAUUCCAUACUGCGGUGCUUGAGGACUGGAGAGGAGACUGGAAUUUACGGUGUAGCAGUGAAAUGCGUAGAGAUCGUAAGGAAGACCAGUGGCGAAGGCGGGUCUCUGGACAGUUCCUGACACUGAGGCGCGAAAGCUAGGGGAGCAAACGGG
This 253-nucleotide ribosomal RNA is filed under the name uncultured bacterium. RNAcentral describes it as "partial 16S ribosomal RNA". It matches the Rfam family "Bacterial small subunit ribosomal RNA", at positions 524 to 776 of the family's 1533-position model. The record is from RNAcentral.